CCUACGGGAGGCAGCAGUAAGGAAUAUUGGUCAAUGGAGGGAACUCUGAACCAGCCAUGCCGCGUGCAGGAAGACAGCCCUCUGGGUCGUAAACUGCUUUUAUUCGGGAAUAAACCACAUUACGUGUAAUGUGCUGAAUGUACCGAAGGAAUAAGGAUCGGCUAACUCCGUGCCAGCAGCCGCGGUAAU
Molecule: ribosomal RNA, 189 nt
Filed under: uncultured bacterium
Lineage: Bacteria
Description: partial 16S rRNA
Rfam family: Bacterial small subunit ribosomal RNA
Source: RNAcentral